GGUUAAGCUACUAAGAGCACACGGAGGAUGCCUAGGCGCUAGGAGCCGAUGAAGGACGUGGCGAACAACGAAACUGCCUCGGGGAGCUGUAAGCAAGCUUUGAUCCGGGGGUGUCCGAAUGGGGAAACCCAGCUGGGGUAAUUUCCAGUUACUCAUAACUGAAUACAUAGGUUAUGUAGAGGCAUACCAGGGGAACUGAAACAUCUAAGUACCUUGAGGAAGAGAAAACAAUAGUGAUUCCGUCAGUAGCGGCGAGCGAACGCGGAGAAGCCCAAACCAAGGAGCUUGCUCUUUGGGGUUGUGGGACGUCUCACAUGGAGUUACAAAGGAACCGGUUAAGCGAAGAGGUCUGGAAAGGCCCGCCAAAGAAGGUAAAAGCCCUGUAAUUGAAAGUCUGUUCCCUCCGAGACGGAUCCCGAGUAGUGCGGGGCACGUGAAACCCCGUAUGAAUCCGGCAGGACCAUCUGCCAAGGCUAAAUACUUCCUAGCGACCGAUAGUGAAGCAGUACCGUGAGGGAAAGGUGAAAAGCACCCCGGAAGGGGAGUGAAAUAGAACCUGAAACCGUGUGCUUACAAAAAGUCAGAGCCCGUUUUAGGGGUGAUGGCGUGCCUUUUGUAGAAUGAACCGGCGAGUUACGUUCCCGUGCAAGGUUAAGGUGAAGAGCCGGAGCCGCAGCGAAAGCGAGUCUGAAUAGGGCGACAUAGUACGUGGACGUAGACCCGAAACCGGGUGAUCUACCCCUGUCCAGGGUGAAGGUGCGGUAACACGCACUGGAGGCCCGAACCCACGCAUGUUGAAAAAUGCGGGGAUGAGGUGGGGGUAGCGGAGAAAUUCCAAUCGAACUCGGAGAUAGCUGGUUCUCCCCGAAAUAGCUUUAGGGCUAGCCUCGGAAAACAGAGUCGUGGAGGUAGAGCACUGAUUGGGUGCGGGGCCCGCAAGGGUUACCAAGCUCAGUCAAACUCCGAAUGCCAUAGACUUACUUCCGGGAGUCAGACAGUGAGUGCUAAGAUCCAUUGUCAAAAGGGAAACAGCCCAGACCAUCAGCUAAGGUCCCCAAGUGUGUGUUAAGUGGGAAAGGAUGUGGAGUUGCACAGACAACCAGGAUGUUGGCUUAGAAGCAGCCACCAUUUAAAGAGUGCGUAAUAGCUCACUGGUCGAGUGACUCUGCGCCGAAAAUGUAACGGGGCUAAACACACCACCGAAGCUAUGGCUUGAUGCUU
RNAcentral lists this ribosomal RNA (1221 nucleotides) under Paenibacillus amylolyticus. Its description in RNAcentral is "partial 23S ribosomal RNA". It matches the Rfam family "Bacterial large subunit ribosomal RNA", at positions 1 to 1215 of the family's 2925-position model. Lineage: Bacteria; Bacillati; Bacillota; Bacilli; Caryophanales; Paenibacillaceae. The record is from RNAcentral.